GACGAACGCUGGCGGCGUGCCUAAUACAUGCAAGUAGAACGCAGUUGCGAACGGGUGAGUAACGCGUAGGUAACUGCCGCAUAGCGGGGGAUAACUAUUGGAACCGAUAGCUAAUACCGCAUACUGUGAGAUGGGCCUGCGGUGUAUUAGCUAGUUGGUGGGGUAAAGGCUCACCAAGGCGACGAUGCAUAGCCGGCCUGAGAGGGUGGACGGGCAACAUUGGACUGGGACACGGCCCAGACUCCCACGGGGGGCAGCCGUUGGGAAUCUUUGGCAAAUGGCGGAAGGCUGACCGAGCAAAGCCGGGUGAGUUAAGGAGGGUUUCGGAGCGUAAAACGCUGUUGUUAGAGAAGCGGUAACUAACCAGAAAGCGACGGCUAACUACGUGCCAGCCGCCGCGGUAAUUC
This 407-nucleotide ribosomal RNA is filed under the name uncultured bacterium. Its description in RNAcentral is "partial 16S ribosomal RNA". It matches the Rfam family "Bacterial small subunit ribosomal RNA", at positions 28 to 526 of the family's 1533-position model. The record is from RNAcentral.